Nilaparvata lugens (brown planthopper) is the source of this 740-nucleotide long non-coding RNA. RefSeq lists it as uncharacterized. The record is from RefSeq and is a predicted model, not a curated record. The transcript is spliced from 2 exons. NCBI's taxonomy places the organism in Eukaryota, Metazoa, Arthropoda, Insecta, Hemiptera, Delphacidae.
GUUUAUUCCCUAGCAGCCCAGCAGCUGUCGGAGCAUAUCUCAGUGUCAAGGCAAGGAUACUGCGGCUAUUGUUAGCGCAUUAAGGUAGUCGAAACCGCUCUGUCAAUCUAUUAGUGCUAUCAACAUGUGCUCCGUCGGACGCAGCGCAAAUUUCUAGUAGACACUUGAUCAAAACCAAGAUUUCUUCUGAGUGGUGCAAAGAAGUGAACGUUUUAGUUUUUUAGUUCAUUUUUUCAAUAAAUGUAUAAUAACGUUACGAUUACAUUUUGAGAGCAUUCUCAUUUUGUACCAUGCUGUGGAAGAUGACUCUUGUGAUUUUUUAAACUGUAAACAAACUUUAAUGUGACUUCUAGCACGGAAUAAACAUACCAGUAGUGCUUCUCUACUCUGUGCUUUUAGUGUUAUGAUUUAAUCAUUUUUACUACUUUAUAUUUAUUGAAAGGCUGGGUGAAAAGAUGGGUAAAGACAAGGAAGACGAUGCUACGAGCGAGGAAUCAGUGACAAUACCAACUGUGAAAAAAGAGCCGAGACGACGUUCAGUGCAUCCUGACCACCACAGAAUCAAACAGACUCUCAUCAGGCAGGCGUUUUACCUGGUCGAUGAGAAGUACAUGAAGCAAAGGCCAAAGCAGUUCUAUAUAAAAUCUCUAACCGGUGAUAUAUACCUUAUCAAGUAUGAAAGGUUUCUCUUCUGACCAUUCCUCCAUUUUUAAACUGACCAAAAUUAUUAUUUUCCUAAG